CAGCAGCCGCGGUAAUACGAAGGGGGCUAGCGUUGCUCAGAAUCACUGGGCGUAAAGGGUGCGUAGGCGGGUCUUUAAGUCAGGGGUGAAAUCCUGGAGCUCAACUCCAGAACUGCCUUUGAUACUGAAGAUCUUGAGUUCGGGAGAGGUGAGUGGAACUGCGAGUGUAGAGGUGAAAUUCGUAGAUAUUCGCAAGAACACCAGUGGCGAAGGCGGCUCACUGGCCCGAUACUGACGCUGAGGCACGAAAGCGUGGGGAGCAAACAGGAUUAGAUACCCCAGUAGUCCCUGUCUCUUAUAC
Molecule: ribosomal RNA, 301 nt
Filed under: uncultured bacterium
Lineage: Bacteria
Description: partial 16S ribosomal RNA
Rfam family: Bacterial small subunit ribosomal RNA
Source: RNAcentral